GUAGGUGGCAAGCGUUGUCCGGAAUUAUUGGGCGUAAAGCGCGCGCAGGCGGUUUCUUAAGUCUGAUGUGAAAGCCCACGGCUCAACCGUGGAGGGUCAUUGGAAACUGGGGAACUUGAGUACAGAAGAGGAAAGUGGAAUUCCACGUGUAGCGGUGAAAUGCGUAGAGAUGUGGAGGAACACCAGUGGCGAAGGCGACUUUCUGGUCUGUAACUGACGCUGAGGCGCGAAAGCGUGGGGAGCAAACAGGGAUUAGAUACCCUGGUAGUCCACGCCGUAAACGAUGAGUGCUAAGUGUUAGAGGGUUUCCGCCCCUUUAGUGCUGCAGCUAACGCAUUAAGCACUCCGCCUGGGAGUACGGUCGCAAGACUG
This 372-nucleotide ribosomal RNA is filed under the name uncultured organism. RNAcentral's name for it is "partial 16S ribosomal RNA". It matches the Rfam family "Bacterial small subunit ribosomal RNA", at positions 527 to 896 of the family's 1533-position model. The record is from RNAcentral.